This 497-nucleotide ribosomal RNA is filed under the name uncultured bacterium. RNAcentral describes it as "partial 16S ribosomal RNA". It matches the Rfam family "Bacterial small subunit ribosomal RNA", at positions 28 to 507 of the family's 1533-position model. The record is from RNAcentral.
GAUGAACGCUGGCGGCGUGCCUAAUACAUGCAAGUCGAGCGAACAGACGAGGAGCUUGCUCCUCUGACGUUAGCGGCGGACGGGUGAGUAACACGUGGAUAACCUACCUAUAAGACUGGGAUAACUUCGGGAAACCGGAGCUAAUACCGGAUAACAUGUUGAACCGCAUGGUUCAACAGUGAAAGACGGUUUUGCUGUCACUUAUAGAUGGAUCCGCGUCGCAUUAGCUAGUUGGUAAGGUAACGGCUUACCAAGGCAACGACGCGUAGCCGACCUGAGAGGGUGAUCGGCCACACUGGAACUGAGACACGGUCCAGACUCCUACGGGAGGCAGCAGUAGGGAAUCUUCCGCAAUGGGCGAAAGCCUGACGGAGCAACGCCGCGUGAGUGAAGAAGGUCUUCGGAUCGUAAAACUCUGUUAUUAGGGAAGAACAAAUGUGUAAGUAACUAUGCACGUCUUGACGGUACCUAAUCAGAAAGCCACGGCUAACUACGUG